GAGAGUUAGAAAACACAGAUAACAUCUCUUCAAAUGCUUUCAAAUCCUGGCACACACUUCGGUCAAUUGCAGCAGAGCUCGCCUGUCACAUAGUAGGUCCUCACGGCAACCACCACAGAAGCCACUCGAACCUACAUUCGACUCUGACCGCAACUCCUAUUUGACAAACCCUAUCCAUUUUCUUUACCUUGGAAUCCUAAGCCUAGGGCGAUCACUUUAGGACCAGAAUCGUAAAAUAAAAAUGUGGACCUCUGCACAUUGGAACAGGAUGCAUUCCACCGAAUGGAGGUGGACUGUCAGCUCGCGUAUUUGAGGAGAAAGAGAGCACAAGCAGGGGAAGCAGCAGAGGGAGAGGGAGAAGAAGACUCCCCGCUGAGCAGGGAGCCUGAUGAGGGGCUCGAUCCCAGGACCCUGGGAUCAUGACCUGAGCUGAAGGCAGCCGCUUAACUGAGCCACACAGGCACCCCUAAAAGACCCCAAAAUAUAAAGACAAGCUCACUAGGUAACAUGUGUCUGGGAUAACUAUCUCUCAGAAGGCUUCCAGAAGUUACCUAUGCUACAGUGAGAUUUUGAAUUUGCUUAACUGAUGACAUGAAGGUCCAAGGCCCACAACCAGAUAAGCAGAAAGCAGCCACGCUAAAAUGCAGUCAUGAGAAACCACCUCUAAACUUCCGAAGAUGACUGCUUCUGAGACUGGAUUCAAACAAAGCAGCAUUUGAAGGGCCCCACUGGCUUGCGUAAUGAAGUCAACGCAGGACUCAAAGGAUACAGAGAAGCAGUCUGUCAAUGAGUGAACCUUCGUGGGUUCGUGUUCCCAUUCAUCUCACCUUAUUUAUGGCGUAUUUAAUGAAUGUUCAUGGAGGAUCUACUGUGGGUCAGGUGCUGUGCCAAGCCCUGGUGACAAACGGCUGCCUCAGAACGCUUCCCUUGAGUUCUUUCUGAUCCCUUAUCCAUCUUCCAGAAGCCUUUUCUUCCACGUCUACAGUAUCAAAAACCUUUGUAACAUUACAAGAAGCAUCCUUGUUUCAUAUUUGGAUACCACCUAAAACAGACAGAUGGCCAGUACGAGGAAGUGCUUCGUCAUUAUCUAAAUUCUAAGAAGUUUUAUCAAAACGAGCUGGGCAAUAGAUACGCAAAUGCCGUGACUUACCUGAGAGAAAGCACGUGAGGAGUGGAAGGCCAGGCACCCACGUGCUCCCUUCUGGAGCUCUACAAUGAGAUUCCUUCUGCUCACUGUACAAACGCCGAACUGUGCGCUCUCUCUCUAAGUGCCAGGUCUUAAUUCCCACGGGCCUGCGGACACCUGCACCGGAUAACCCACGCACAUUCGAGCUGUGCGCAAGAGAACCUAGCAUCCUCCUCCCUGAAGCUGCUGCCCCUGCCCCGUGUCUUCCCUGCUCAGGGUCACUGUGUUUUACAGAUUUCAGGGCCACUUCUGACCGUUGCGGGGAUUCUCCCCAGAGCCACCUGUCGGAGCUCGCUUUUGGGAGAGUUUCAGGUUUCCACAAGGAAGGAAAGGAGAUACCGACACAUCCUGCUUCGAAACUUCAGCCUGUCACCCCAAAUCCCUGUCCUGGAGGAAGAGGAAGGAUUUCACGUUGGCCAGGCUCCACGAUACUUGGCCUGUGUUGAAUGAUGGUUUCUCUCAGCCAAGUACCAGGCUGAGCUGUGAGGAGGAGGCUGAGACACACCGAACAUGUUCUGGAAGUAUGUUGAUUUGUAUGUAAGUGCAUAGAAAACGAGGGAGAUGCAUCACACUAACAGGUAAUAAUAGGGGAAACGGAGUGUGGAGGCUAGGCAGGAACCCUGUACUGUCUUCACCAUGUUUCUGUGAAUCCAAAACUGUUCUAAAAAAUAA
Molecule: long non-coding RNA, 1858 nt
Organism: Ailuropoda melanoleuca (giant panda)
Lineage: Eukaryota; Metazoa; Chordata; Mammalia; Carnivora; Ursidae
Exons: 4
Source: RefSeq, a predicted model, not a curated record